UUCUAUUAGAAAUAAUUAAUAGUAUAAUCUGCUCAAUGAUAUUAAAUAGCCGCUAUUACUGUGCUAAGGUAGCAUAAUCAUUUGUCUUUUAAUUGAAGACUGGAACAAAAGAUUAAACAAUUUAAUUAAUAUAUUAAAAAUUAAAACUUAAAUUUAUUUUUUAUGUAAAAAAACAUUUAUAAAUUAGGAAGACGACAAGACCCUAUUAAACUUAACUUAAGUUAAACUGGGGCAGUUAAUCAAUUAUUAUUUUAAUAAAUAUAAAAUAAUAAAAGAUCCAAUAAAAUUGAUUAUAUGAUCAAGUUACUAUAGGGAUAACAGCGCAAUAUUAAUCUAAAGAUCUUAUUUAAAUAAAAGAUUACGACCUCGAUGUUGAAUUAAUAAACUAGAUUAUCGCAAUAGAUGAUCAAAGNAAGUCCGUUCGACUUUUAAAAAAUUACA
This 441-nucleotide ribosomal RNA is filed under the name Philisca accentifera. RNAcentral describes it as "partial 16S ribosomal RNA". Lineage: Eukaryota; Metazoa; Arthropoda; Arachnida; Araneae; Anyphaenidae. The record is from RNAcentral.